GACGAACGCUGGCGGCGUGCUUAACACAUGCAAGUCGAACGGUGAAGCGCCUUCCUUUUUGGUGGGUGUGGAUGAGUGGCGAACGGGUGAGUAACACGUGAGUAACCUGCCCCCUUCUUCUGGAUAACCGCAUGAAAGUGUGGCUAAUACGGGAUAUUCUGGGUCUGUCGCAUGAUGGGUCUGGGAAAGAUAUUGUUUCGGUGGGGGAUGGGCUCGCGGCCUAUCAGCUUGUUGGUGGGGUGAUGGCCUACCAAGGCGGUGACGGGUAGCCGGCCUGAGAGGGUGGACGGUCACACAGGGACUGAGACACGGCCCAGACUCCUACGGGAGGCAGCAGUGGGGAAUAUUGCACAAUGGGCGCAAGCCUGAUGCAGCGACGCCGCGUGAGGGAUGGAGGCCUGCGGGUUGUGAACCUCUUUCGCCAGUGAAGCAGGCCUGCCUCGUUUGUGGGUGGGUUGACGGUAGCUGGAUAAGAAGCGCCGGCUAACUACGUG
Molecule: ribosomal RNA, 494 nt
Filed under: uncultured bacterium
Lineage: Bacteria
Description: partial 16S ribosomal RNA
Rfam family: Bacterial small subunit ribosomal RNA
Source: RNAcentral